Molecule: ribosomal RNA, 1066 nt
Filed under: uncultured Bacteroidota bacterium
Lineage: Bacteria; Pseudomonadati; Bacteroidota
Description: bacterial SSU rRNA
Rfam family: Bacterial small subunit ribosomal RNA
Source: RNAcentral
GAAGCCUGAACCCAGCCCAUGCCGCGUGCAGAUGACGCCCUAUGGGUGUAAACUGCUUUUAUAUAGGAAGAAACUUCCCGACGGUGUCGGGAACUGACGGUACUAUACGAAUAAGGACGGCUAACUCCGUGCCAGCAGCCGCGGUAAUACGGAGGGUCAAGCGUUAUCCGGGAUUCAUUGGGUUUAAAGGGUGCGCAGGCGGACCGAUAAGUCAGUGGUGAAAUCUACAGCUCAACUGUAGAACUGCCAUUGAUACUGUCGAUCUUGAGUACGGUUGAAGUGGGCGGAAUGUAUCAUGUAGCGGUGAAAUGCAUAGAUAUGAUACAGAACUCCGAUAGCGAAGGCAGCUCACUAACCCGUAACUGACGCUCAGGCACGAAAGCGUGGGGAGCAAACAGGAUUAGAUACCCUGGUAGUCCACGCCGUAAACGAUGAUCACUCGUUGUUAGCAAUACACCGUUAGCGACUGAACGAAAGCAUUAAGUGAUCCACCUGGGAAGUACGAUCGCAAGGUUGAAACUCAAAGGAAUUGACGGGGGCCCGCACAAGCGGAGGAGCAUGUGGUUUAAUUCGAUGAUACGCGAGGAACCUUACCUGGGCUUAAAUGUUUAAUGACCGACUGGGAAACCAGUCUUCUCUUCGGAGCAUUUUACAAGGUGCUGCAUGGUUGUCGUCAGCUCGUGCCGUGAGGUGUCGGGUUAAGUCCCAUAACGAGCGCAACCCCUAUUCUUAGUUGCCAUCAGAUAAUGCUGGGGACUCUAAGGAAACUGCCUACGCAAGUAGUGAGGAAGGUGGGGAUGACGUCAAAUCAGCACGGCCCUUAUGUCCAGGGCUACACACGUGCUACAAUGGUCGGUACAGAGGGUCGCUACUUGGUGACAGGAUGCUAAUCUCGAAAACCGAUCUCAGUUCGGAUCGAAGUCUGCAACUCGACUUCGUGAAGCUGGAUUCGCUAGUAAUCGCAUAUCAGCAAUGGUGCGGUGAAUACGUUCCCGGGCCUUGUACACACCGCCCGUCAAGCCAUGGAAGCUGGGGGUACCUGAAGUCUGUGACCGCAAGGAGCGGC